This 449-nucleotide ribosomal RNA is filed under the name uncultured bacterium. RNAcentral describes it as "bacterial SSU rRNA". It matches the Rfam family "Bacterial small subunit ribosomal RNA", at positions 354 to 795 of the family's 1533-position model. The record is from RNAcentral.
GUGGGGAAUAUUGGACAAUGGGCGCAAGCCUGAUCCAGCAAUGCCGCGUGGGUGAAGAAGGCCUUCGGGUUGUAAACCGCUUUUGUCAGGGAAGAAAUCCUUUGGGUUAAUACCUCGGAGGGAUGACGGUACCUGAAGAAUAAGCACCGGCUAACUACGUGCCAGCAGCCGCGGUAAUACGUAGGGUGCGAGCGUUAAUCGGAAUUACUGGGCGUAAAGCGUGCGCAGGCGGUUUUGUAAGAUCGAUGUGAAAUCCCCGGGCUCAACCUGGGAACUGCAUUGGUGACUGCAAGGCUGGAGUGCGGCAGAGGGGGAUGGAAUUCCGCGUGUAGCAGUGAAAUGCGUAGAUAUGCGGAGGAACACCGAUGGCGAAGGCAAUCCCCUGGGCCUGCACUGACGCUCAUGCACGAAAGCGUGGGGAGCAAACAGGAUUAGAAACCCCAGUAGUC